RNAcentral lists this ribosomal RNA (651 nucleotides) under uncultured Bacteroides sp. Its description in RNAcentral is "bacterial SSU rRNA". It matches the Rfam family "Bacterial small subunit ribosomal RNA", at positions 69 to 715 of the family's 1533-position model. The record is from RNAcentral. Lineage: Bacteria; Pseudomonadati; Bacteroidota; Bacteroidia; Bacteroidales; Bacteroidaceae.
AUGAACUUAGCUUGCUAAGUUUGAUGGCGACCGGCGCACGGGUGAGUAACACGUAUCCAACCUUCCGAUGACUCGGGGAUAGCCUUUCGAAAGAAAGAUUACUUCCCGAUGGCAUAGUUCUUCCGCAUGGUAGAACUAUUAAAGAAUUUCGGUCAUCGAUGGGGAUGCGUUCCAUUAGGUUGUUGGCGGGGUAACGGCCCACCAAGCCUUCGAUGGAUAGGGGUUCUGAGAGGAAGGUCCCCCACAUUGGAACUGAGACACGGUCCAAACUCCUACGGGAGGCAGCAGUGAGGAAUAUUGGUCAAUGGACGAGAGUCUGAACCAGCCAAGUAGCGUGAAGGAUGACUGCCCUAUGGGUUGUAAACUUCUUUUAUACGGGAAUAAAGUGAGGCACGUGUGCCUUUUUGUAUGUACCGUAUGAAUAAGGAUCGGCUAACUCCGUGCCAGCAGCCGCGGUAAUACGGAGGAUCCGAGCGUUAUCCGGAUUUAUUGGGUUUAAAGGGAGCGUAGGCGGACGCUUAAGUCAGUUGUGAAAGUUUGCGGCUCAACCGUAAAAUUGCAGUUGAUACUGGGUGUCUUGAGUACAGUAGAGGCAGGCGGAAUUCGUGGUGUAGCGGUGAAAUGCUUAGAUAUCACGAAGAACUCCGAUUG